GACGAACGCUGGCGGCGUGCCUAAUACAUGCAAGUUGAACGCUUGAUUUUCACCGAAGCUUGCUUCACCGAAAAUCAAGAGUAGCGAACGGGUGAGUAACGCGUGGGUAACCUACCUUUCAGCGGGGGAUAACUAUUGGAAACGAUAGCUAAUACCCGCAUAACAAUGUUGGAUGCAUAUUCGACAUUUGAAAGUAUCAAUUGGUACACUGAGAGAUGGACCCGCGUUGUAUUAGCUAGUUGGUAGUGUAAUGGACUACCAAGGCGAUGAUACAUAGCCGACCUGAGAGGGUGAUCGGCCACAUUGGGACUGAGACACGGCCCAAACUCCUACGGGAGGCAGCAGUAGGGAAUCUUCGGCAAUGGAUGAAAGUCUGACCGAGCAACGCCGCGUGAGUGAAGAAGGUUUUCGGAUCGUAAAACUCUGGUUGUUAGAGAAGAACGUUGCAUAGAGUGGAAAAUUAUGCAAGUGACGGUAUCUAACCAGAAAGGGACGGCUAACUACG
RNAcentral lists this ribosomal RNA (505 nucleotides) under uncultured bacterium. RNAcentral's name for it is "bacterial SSU rRNA". It matches the Rfam family "Bacterial small subunit ribosomal RNA", at positions 28 to 505 of the family's 1533-position model. The record is from RNAcentral.